CAAGUCAGAGCCGAGAGUUGAUGCCUCUUGUUGGUUGGGGACGAUAAAAGUGCGAAUGUUGCAGCCAGUAAUUGCGAGCACAAAGGAUUGAAAAUUGUAGAUCAACUUGUGCAACUACAAAAUCAGUCAGUAAGAAAAGCAAGGCUAACACAUGGCGGUAGCCCUUUACAUUUUGCGGAGGUUUGCCCUGGUGCUUGUGAGGAACACAAAGUCGGAGUGUGGUGUUCACCCGGCUGUGUUUGUCGCGUGAUGGAUGCCAUUGGCGAACCCCUAUUUUUGUGCUUUGAAGAUGGCAAACCACUUCCACUGGGCUUUCACUGAGCGUGACACAAGUUGCCUUCCUGUAUCAGAUGAAUGUGCUUAUUUAUUGUAUUAUGACUGAAUCCAAAUAAACAUCUUUAUGUCUGAA
RNAcentral lists this unclassified non-coding RNA (409 nucleotides) under Rhipicephalus microplus (southern cattle tick). RNAcentral describes it as "uncharacterized LOC119173397, transcript variant X3". Lineage: Eukaryota; Metazoa; Arthropoda; Arachnida; Ixodida; Ixodidae. The record is from RNAcentral.